Molecule: transfer RNA, 77 nt
Filed under: Bdellovibrio sp. CG_4_9_14_3_um_filter_39_7
Lineage: Bacteria; Pseudomonadati; Bdellovibrionota; Bdellovibrionia; Bdellovibrionales; Pseudobdellovibrionaceae
Also listed under: 5 other names
Description: tRNA-Lys
Rfam family: tRNA
About the family: Transfer RNA (tRNA) molecules are approximately 80 nucleotides in length.
Source: RNAcentral
GGUCUCGUAGCUCAGUUGGUUAGAGCAUCUCACUUUUAAUGAGAGGGUCGUGCGUUCGAGUCGCACCGAGAUCACCA